GAGGGUAUAGCUCAGUGGUAGCGUGCUUGCUUAGCAUCCACAAGGUCCUGGGUUCAAUCCCCAGUACCUCCU
Molecule: transfer RNA, 72 nt
Filed under: Camelus bactrianus (Bactrian camel)
Lineage: Eukaryota; Metazoa; Chordata; Mammalia; Artiodactyla; Camelidae
Also listed under: 2 other names
Rfam family: tRNA
About the family: Transfer RNA (tRNA) molecules are approximately 80 nucleotides in length. Their secondary structure includes four short double-helical elements and three loops (D, anti-codon, and T loops).
Source: Rfam by way of RNAcentral